AGAAUCAACGCUGGCGGCGUGCCUAACACAUGCAAGUCGAACGAGAAAGUGGAGCAAUCCAUGAGUAAAGUGGCGCACGGGUGAGUAACACGUGACUAACCUACCUUUUAGUGGGGGAUAACCUAGGGAAACCUGGGCUAAUACCGCAUAAUACCUACGGGUCAAAAGCAGCAAUGCGCUGAAAGAGGGGGUCGCGGUCGAUUAGUUAGUUGGCAGGGUAAUGGCCUACCAAGACUGUGAUCGAUAUCCGGCCUGAGAGGGCGCACGGACACACUGGAACUGAAACACGGUCCAGACUCCUACGGGAGGCAGCAGUGGGGAAUUUUGCGCAAUGGGGGAAACCCUGACGCAGCAAACGCCGCGUGGAGGAUGAAGUCCCUUGGGACGUAAAACUCCUUUCGAUCGGGACGAUAAUGACGGUACCGGAAGAAGAAGCCCCGGCUAACUUCGUGCCAGCAGCCGC
This 463-nucleotide ribosomal RNA is filed under the name uncultured bacterium. Its description in RNAcentral is "SSU rRNA". It matches the Rfam family "Bacterial small subunit ribosomal RNA", at positions 26 to 518 of the family's 1533-position model. The record is from RNAcentral.